UCCACGAGAGACUUAGGCACCCUACUCCAA
Molecule: non-coding RNA, 30 nt
Filed under: Homo sapiens (human)
Lineage: Eukaryota; Metazoa; Chordata; Mammalia; Primates; Hominidae
Source: RNAcentral